AAGUCGUAACAAGGUUUCCGUAGGUGAACCUGCGGAAGGAUCAUCAACAAAAUAUAGGGCGCAAGCCAUAUAAAUCAUUUGUUUAUUGAAAAUAAAUUAAAUAUAUAAAAAACUUUUAACAAUGGAUCUCUUGGCUCUU
RNAcentral lists this unclassified non-coding RNA (139 nucleotides) under fungal sp. RNAcentral's name for it is "partial internal transcribed spacer region". The stretch from base 1 to 46 matches the Rfam family "Eukaryotic small subunit ribosomal RNA", at positions 1786 to 1831 of the family's 1831-position model. Lineage: Eukaryota; Fungi. The record is from RNAcentral.